UUUCCGUAGGUGAACCUGCGGAAGGAUCAUUACAGAGUUCAUGCCCUAACGGGUAGACCUCCCACCCUUGUGUAUUUAUACUUUGUUGCUUUGGCGAAUAGUGCGUCUGACGCACCUCAGCCCUCGGGCUGUGAGAUUCUCUUGUUCGCCAGAGGAUACCAAACUCAUAUUUAUUAGUGUCGUCUGAGUACUAUAUUAAUAGUUAAAACUUUCAACAACGGAUCUCUUGGUUCUGGCAUCGAUGAAGAACGCAGC
This 255-nucleotide unclassified non-coding RNA is filed under the name uncultured fungus. Its description in RNAcentral is "sequence contains ITS1, 5.8S rRNA gene". The stretch from base 207 to 255 matches the Rfam family "5.8S ribosomal RNA", at positions 1 to 49 of the family's 154-position model. Lineage: Eukaryota; Fungi. The record is from RNAcentral.